AACGAACGCUGGCGGCAUGCCUAACACAUGCAAGUCGAACGAGACCUUCGGGUCUAGUGGCGCACGGGUGCGUAACGCGUGGGAACCUGCCCUUAGGUUCGGAAUAACUCCCCGAAAGGGGUGCUAAUACCGGAUAAUGUCUUCGGACCAAAGAUUUAUCGCCUUUGGAUGGGCCCGCGUUGGAUUAGCUAGUUGGUAGGGUAAAAGCCUACCAAGGCGACGAUCCAUAGCUGGUCUGAGAGGAUGAUCAGCCGCACUGGGACUGAGACACGGCCCAGACUCCUACGGGAGGCAGCAGUGGGGAAUAUUGGACAAUGGGCGAAAGCCUGAUCCAGCAAUGCCGCGUGAGUGAUGAAGGCCUUAGGGUUGUAAAGCUCUUUUACCCGGGAUGAUAAUGACAGUACCGGGAGAAUAAGCGCCGGCCAACUCCGUG
Molecule: ribosomal RNA, 433 nt
Filed under: uncultured bacterium
Lineage: Bacteria
Description: partial 16S ribosomal RNA
Rfam family: Bacterial small subunit ribosomal RNA
Source: RNAcentral